AUGCCUGCCGUCAAACCACCAGAGUGGGAUGCCAUGUCUGCCAAGGAGCAGUUGUUGUGGUAUCUCGAGAGGUUAUGCGCUCAGGCAGACGAGAUGAGCUCAGUGUUGGGUAUUGCACGAGUGGGUGACCCUCCCGUGGUCACCUCGCUUGUCGAUCCGGCGGCCUCAACCACAACGCACGCCUCACCUACUCCCGUCCCAGACGUCUCCGGCUCCACCACCAAGGUCCAGGAAGUGCUUGAGGUCAUCCAAGACGCGCCCCCUGCUUGCAUCGCGAUGGCGCACAUCAACUGUUCGACGGAUGGCUCGAACCAAGUUGUCGCCACCAACAGCGCCAACAAGGUCACCACCAUCUACCCCGAGCCCGUCAUCGACCUCAGCGACAAGAGGGUGGAGCAGUUCACUGACUCUACCGUGAGUGCCGAGUCCCUCGCAGUGGUGACCGCCACGGUGGUGUCUUCCAACCCGGGCAAGUACGCAGCGGUGGAGGCCCCUCCCGAUGUCCUCACCACACCUGCAGUACCUACCAGCAUUUCCUCAUCCACCACAAAGGCCAAGGAGGUCUUCGAGGUUGCUUAUGAUGUGCCCCAGGACAGCAUCACCAAGACACUCGUGAGUUAUUCGACGGAUUGUUCGAACCAAGUCGUUGCCACAUCGUCGUUCCGGGGCCAUGACCUGGACAUCUCGUUGCCCACAAGGCACCAAGGACUUUUGAUGCGGCCGACACCAUGGCCAUCGUUUCUGGCAGAUCAUAUGGCUGAGGGGAAUGAGAAUCGACCAACUCCAUGGCCAUCAUUUCAAAUCGGCGUGCCAUCAGAGGACAAGGAUGAUUCAUGUUUUAGUGAGAAGUUAUUUCAUGAAGGUAAAAAGUGGCUUUCAGAACUAUGUGAUUGCUCUAUUACUAUGGCUCCUCCAGUGCAGCAUUCGAAUCUAGCUAUCACGACUGCACAUCUACUUCUGAGCAUGCAGAAAAUGGUUGCUCUAAGCACCGAACGUUCAAGCAAAAAAAUUCUUCAGUUCAUGCAAUUUGGGCCCUAUGAACUAGUCUGCUACAAGCUUCAGGGUCCGAUUUCCAGUUUGUUUGCUAGUGUUGUUGUUCAGACUGUAUUCUCUGCAUAUACUAUUGAUUCACUUCUUCCGUGGGAAUUCGGUAGAUGUACAAUCAUGGGAAGGGCAACAAAAUGCAGUGGAGGAUACACUGUGCAAUUUGAGCCACGGCCUGUGUUCAAGUUCAGUCAAGAGACUAUCCAGCUGAAGCCACCUUGGCCAUCAUUUUCAUGCGAUUGA
This 1287-nucleotide ribosomal RNA is filed under the name Triticum aestivum (bread wheat). RNAcentral's name for it is "partial small subunit ribosomal RNA". Lineage: Eukaryota; Viridiplantae; Streptophyta; Magnoliopsida; Poales; Poaceae. The record is from RNAcentral.